This 1484-nucleotide ribosomal RNA is filed under the name uncultured prokaryote. RNAcentral's name for it is "partial 16S ribosomal RNA". It matches the Rfam family "Bacterial small subunit ribosomal RNA". The record is from RNAcentral.
ACAACGGAGAGUUUGAUCCUGGCUCAGGAUGAACGCUGGCGGCGUGCUUAACACAUGCAAGUCGAACGAACCUUCGGGUUAGUGGCGGACGGGUGAGUAACGCGUGAGAAUCUGCCCUCAGGAGGGGGAUAACGGCUGGAAACGGCCGCUAAUACCCCAUAUGCCGAGAGGUGAAAUGAAUUUCGCCUGAGGAUGAGCUCGCGUCUGAUUAGCUAGUUGGUGGGGUAAGAGCCUACCAAGGCUUCGAUCAGUAGCUGGUCUGAGAGGAUGAUCAGCCACACUGGGACUGAGACACGGCCCAGACUCCUACGGGAGGCAGCAGUGGGGAAUUUUCCGCAAUGGGCGAAAGCCUGACGGAGCAACGCCGCGUGAGGGAUGAAGGCCUCUGGGCUGUAAACCUCUUUUAUCAAGGAAGAAGAUCUGACGGUACUUGAUGAAUAAGCCACGGCUAAUUCCGUGCCAGCAGCCGCGGUAAUACGGGAGUGGCAAGCGUUAUCCGGAAUUAUUGGGCGUAAAGCGUCCGCAGGCGGUCUUGUAAGUCUGUUGUUAAAGCGUGGAGCUUAACUCCAUUUCAGCAAUGGAAACUGCAAGACUAGAGUGUGGUAGGGGCAGAGGGAAUUCCCGGUGUAGCGGUGAAAUGCGUAGAUAUCGGGAAGAACACCAGUGGCGAAGGCGCUCUGCUGGGCCAUAACUGACGCUCAUGGACGAAAGCCAGGGGAGCGAAAGGGAUUAGAUACCCCUGUAGUCCUGGCCGUAAACGAUGAACACUAGGUGUCGGGGGAAUCGACCCCCUCGGUGUCGUAGCCAACGCGUUAAGUGUUCCGCCUGGGGAGUACGCACGCAAGUGUGAAACUCAAAGGAAUUGACGGGGGCCCGCACAAGCGGUGGAGUAUGUGGUUUAAUUCGAUGCAACGCGAAGAACCUUACCAGGGUUUGACAUCCUGCGAAUCUCUUGGAAACGAGAGAGUGCCUUCGGGAACGCAGUGACAGGUGGUGCAUGGCUGUCGUCAGCUCGUGUCGUGAGAUGUUGGGUUAAGUCCCGCAACGAGCGCAACCCACGUCGUUAGUUGCCAGCAUUCAGUUGGGCACUCUAGCGAGACCGCCGGUGAUAAACCGGAGGAAGGUGUGGAUGACGUCAAGUCAUCAUGCCCCUUACAUCCUGGGCUACACACGUACUACAAUGCUACGGACAAAGGGCAGCAAACUCGCGAGAGCUAGCAAAUCCCAUAAACCGUGGCUCAGUUCAGAUCGUAGGCUGCAACUCGCCUACGUGAAGGAGGAAUCGCUAGUAAUCGCAGGUCAGCAUACUGCGGUGAAUACGUUCCCGGGCCUUGUACACACCGCCCGUCACACCAUGGAAGUUGGCCACGCCCGAAGCCGUUACUCCAACCCGCAAGGGAGGAGGACGCCGAAGGUGGGGCUGAUGACUGGGGUGAAGUCGUAACAAGGUAGCCGUACCGGAAGGUGCGGCUGGAUCACCUCCU